Molecule: long non-coding RNA, 14936 nt
Filed under: Arabidopsis lyrata
Lineage: Eukaryota; Viridiplantae; Streptophyta; Magnoliopsida; Brassicales; Brassicaceae
Description: long non-coding RNA (ALYR_LNC001978)
Source: RNAcentral
UGUACAUUAGGUUCAGACAUAUUAGCAUUGGAAUAUGUCUGACUCCUAUGUUGUGCUUUUUCAGUAUCCUGGUAUGCAACAAUUAUUAUCCAGAUAUUAUCAAAGAUCCAUUUAGUUGCUCUCGACUCGUCCUCGCGUUGCCAUGUCUUUCAUCCGGCGUUGACAGAUAUCUUCUAAGUACCCUUGAAUUGUCCAUGUUAUCAAGGGAUCUCAGGCGUGGGUUUUCUAUAAAACAAAGACGACAUCGAAACCAGAGUUAGUGAAACUACAAACAUGCUAUAAAUGUGAAGGCUAUAUGACAAAAAAAACUGUACUGCAAACUCGGUGAAGUAUCUUUUUGUAUCUGACGAGGCACACAUGUCCAACUAUAUUAGGGACCAUUAAAUUUGUUUGUAAAUUUUUUAGUAAUCUUCCUCACCAGUCUUCAUUUCUUGUCGUGAGUAAACUUUAGACAAGGAGGAUAUAUAAAUAUAACGGGGACCUCGAGUUCACUGAAUGAGACAGCGAAGAUGUUAAAAGUUAAUGAAGAAUAAGAAGAAAGUAAAAAAGCUCUUGAGGGAAGCAGAAUAGUUGUGGUUCAUGCUUAAUCUUCAGUCAAAUAUCUGAGAUGGACCAAGUCAACACGUCGAAUUCUAAAAAUUGUUGAAAAUGAGAAAAAAAACUAAUUUACCUAUUUCUUUAUUCUUUAAAGACUUCAAAAUUGUUAAAAGUUGAUAUUUUUAGAAACAUUUUGUAAAUUCGAGUUGACUCAAAUUUUGGUAUUUUGUUUAUGUAAUUCAUUAGGUCAUCUUGAAUUAUCCAAAUUAUAUGAACUAUCCAUGUAAGUCAUUGAGGAAUGUUUUUUAAAAUCAAUUUAUGUUUACAAAAGGUUUAAAAAAUGUCAGCUUUAAGAAACGUAGAAGUCAUUAAAAAGGAGAAUAAACAAAAAAAAAAUUAUCUUCAUAAGACUUUUAAGGACUCUACGUUGGUGGCUCAGUCCCUUUCGAAUUCUUGGCCCAAGAAAAAGUAUGAGCCACAACUACUCCCAUUCUCCGAAGAGCUUCUCCACUUUCUUCUUUUUCUUCAGUAACUUUCAACAUCCUCUUCAUCGCCUUCGGUGAGUUUGAUGUCCCUACCCUAUACAUAUCUCCUCCUCCUCCAGGACUAAUGAUCAUUUCCUUCCAUAAUAUGCACUCAACAAAUUAAUUUAGAUAUUUCACUACCUCUUUGGUCGAUGAACUUGUAUUGUUUCUUCUUUUGGACACAUAAGACACUUCAAAAGUUAGCAAUAAAAAGCGGUUUACCACAAACCAUUUUGAUGAGAACUCUUGAAGUGGCCUUGAUGUGUCUAAAAGAAAAAGCCAACAAUCAGUGAGGUAGUGAACGAAAUUACAAUGUUGAGUACACAAUGAGUAAGGAAAGGAAUAUUAGCCUUAGACAAGGAUGAUAUAUGGAUAGAAUGGGGACAUCAAGUUCACCGAAUGAGACGGCGAGAAUGUUAAAAGUUAAUGAAGAAGAAUAAGAAAGUAAAGAAGGUCUUGAGAGAAGCAGAGUAGUCGUGGUUCAAGCUUAAUCUUCUAUCAAAUAUUCGAGAGUCACUAAGCCAACACGUCGAUUCCUUAAUAUUGUUGAAAAUGAAACAACAAAUAUUUUCCUAUUUCUUUAUUCUUUAAGUACUUCAAAGUUGUUUAAAGUUGAUAUUUUUGAGAAACAUUUUGUAAACUCUAAUUGACUCAAAUUUUGGUCAUUUGUUUAUGUAAGUCAUUGGAUCAAAUUGAAUAAUCCAAAUUACAUGAAUUAUCCAUGUAAGUCAUUGAGGAUUUUUAAAAAAAAAAACAAUUUAUGUUAAAAAAUAUAGAAGUCAUUAAAGAAGAGAAAAUAAACCAAUAAAAUUUCUCUUCAUAAGACUUUUAAGGACUCGGCAUUGGUGGCUCAGGCCCUCUCGGAUUCAUGGGCCAAGAAAAAGCAUGAGCCACAACUACUCCCCUUCUAUAAAUAUUUUCUCCACUUUUUUUUUUUCUUCAAUAACUUCCAACAUCCUUGUCAUCUCAUUUGGCGAGCUUGAUGUUCCUACCCUUUCCAUAUCUCUGCCUCCUCCAGGACUAAAGAUCCUUUCCCUCCAUAAUAUGCACUCAACAAAUUAAUUUAGAUAUUUCACUGGCUCGCUGGUCGAUGGCUUUGUGUGCGUUUCUUCUUAUGGACACAUAUAAAAUACUUCAAAAGUUAGCAAUAAAAGAUGGUAUCUCAUACGUUUUGAUGAGAACUCUUGAAGUGACCUUUAUGUGUCUAGAAAAGUAAACAGACCAACAAUCAGCGAGGUAGUGAACGAAAUUACAAUGUUGAGUACACAAUAGGAAAAUAACAUUAGGCUUGGAAAAAGAGGAUAUAUGGAUAGAACGGGGACAUCAAGCUCACCGAAUGAGAUGCUGAGGAUGUUAAAGGUUAAUGAAGAAGAAGAAGAAAGUAAAGAACCUCUUUACCAAAGCAGAGUAGUCGUUGUUAAGGCUUAAUCUUCGGUUAGAUAUCCGAAAGGGACUAAGCCAACACAUCGUUUCCUUCAAAAUUGUUGAAACUGAAAAAAAAAAUUAUUUGCCUAUUUCUUUUUUCUUUAAUGACAUUAAAGUUGUUUAAAUUUGAUAUUUUUAGAUUAUUUUUGUAACUCUAAUUGACACAAGUUUUACUCUUUUGUUUAUGGUAGUCAUUGUGUAAACUUGAAUUAUCCAAAUUACAUGAAUUAUCCAUGUAACAUUGAGGAAGUUUUAAGAUAAUCAAUUUAUGUUUACAAAACAUUUCAAAAAUGUCAACUUUCAGAAACAUAGAGUCAUUAUAGAGGAGAAAAUAAACAAAUAAAAAUUCCUUGUUUUUUUUUUGACAGCUAAAAUAUUUUCUUCAUAGGACUUUUAAGGAUUCUACGUUAGUGGCUCAGUCCCUCUCGGAUUCCUGGCCCAAGAAAAAGCAUGAGCCACAACUACUCCCCUUCUCUAAAGAGAUUCUCCACUUUCUUCUUUUUCUUCAUUAAAUUUCAACAGCCUCGUCGUCUAAUUAAGUGAGCUUGAUGUCCCUACCCUAUCCAAAUCUCCGUCUCCUCCAGGACUAAAGAUCAUUUCCCUCCACAAUAUGCACUCAACAAAUUAAUUUAGAUAGUUCAAUACCUCGAUGGUCGAUGGCCAUCUGUGUGUUUCUUCUUUUGGACAAAUAUAAGACACUUCAAAAGUUAGCAAUAAAAGAUUGUUUCUCAGAAACCGUUUUGAUGAGAAUUCUUGUAGUGGACUUUAUGUGCCUAAAAGAUAAAGCAAACACUAGACCAACAAUCAACAAGGUAGUGAACGAAAUUACAAUGUUGAGUACACAAUGCGUAAGGAAAGGAACAUUAGGCUUGGAAAAGGAGGAUAUAUAGAUAGAACGGGGACAUCGAGCUCACCGAAUGAGACUGUGAGAAUGUUAAAUGUUAGUGAAGAAGAAGAAGAAGAGAGUAAAGAACCUUUUUACCAAAGUAGAGUAGUCGUGGUUCAGGCUUAAUCUUCCGUCAGAUAUCCGAAAGGGACUAAGCUAACGCAUCAUUUUCUUCAAAAUUGUUGAAACUGAAAAAACAAUUAUUUGCCUAUUUCUUUUUUCUUUAUUGACUUUAAAGUUGUUUAAAGUUGAUAUUUUUUAGAAACUCUUUGUAAACUCUAAUUGACUCUAAUUUUGGUAUUUUGUUUAUGUUAGUUAUUGGGUCAAUUUGAAUUAUGCAUGUAAGUCAUUGAGGAAAUUUUUUUUAAAAAAAGCAAUUUAUGUUUACAAAAGGUUUCAAAAAUGUUAACUUUUAGAAACAUAGAAGUCAUUAAAAAGGAGAAUAAACAAAAAAAAAAUUAUCUUCAUAAGACUUUUAAGGACUCUACGUUGGUGGCUCAGUCCCUUUCGAAUUCUUGGCCCAAGAAAAAGUAUGAGCCACAACUACUCCCAUUCUCCGAAGAGCUUCUCCACUUUCUUCUUUUUCUUCAGUAACUUUCAACAUCCUCUUCAUCGCCUUCGGUGAGUUUGAUGUCCCUACCCUAUACAUAUCUCCUCCUCCUCCAGGACUAAUGAUCAUUUCCUUCCAUAAUAUGCACUCAACAAAUUAAUUUAGAUAUUUCACUACCUCUUUGGUCGAUGAACUUGUAUUGUUUCUUCUUUUGGACACAUAAGACACUUCAAAAGUUAGCAAUAAAAAGCGGUUUACCACAAACCAUUUUGAUGAGAACUCUUGAAGUGGCCUUGAUGUGUCUAAAAGAAAAAGCCAACAAUCAGCGAGGUAGUGAACGAAAUUACAAUGUUGAGUACACAAUGAGUAAGGAAAGGAACAUUAGCCUUAGACACGGAGAAUAUAUGGAUAGAAUGGGGACGUCGAGCUCACCGAAUGAGACGGCGAGGAUGUUAAAAGGUUAAUGAAGAAGAAGAAGAGACUAAAAAACCUUUUUAUCAAAGCAGAGUUGUCGUGGGUCAGGCUUAAUCUUUUGUCAGAUAUCCGAGAGGGACUAAGUCGAUACGUCCUUUCCUUAAAAUUGUUGAAAAUGAGAAAAAAAAUUAUUUGCCUAUUUCUUUAUUCUUUAAUGACUUCAAAGUUGUUUAAAAUUUAUAUAUUUUUAGACACUUUUUGUAUACUCUAAUUGACUCAAACUUUUGUCUUUUGUUUAUGUUAGUCAUUGGGUCAACUUGAAUUAUCCAAAUUACAUGAAUUAUCCAUGUAAGUCAUUGAGGAAUUUUUGUAAAAAUCAAUUUAUGGUUACAAAAGGUUUCAAAAAUGUCAACUUUAAGAAACAAAUAAUUCAUUUAAGAAGAGAAGAUAAACAGAAAAAAAUUAUCUUCAUAAAACUUUUAAGGACUCGGCGCUGGUGGCUCAGUCCCUCUCGGAUUCCUGGCCCAAGAAAAAACAUGAGCCACAACUACUCCCCUUCUCUAAAGAGCUUCUCCAUUUUCUUCUUUAUCUUCAUUAACUUUCAACACCCUCGCCGUUUUCAUUCGGUGUGCUUGAUGUCCCUACCCUAGUUAUAUCUCAGCCUCCUCCAGGACUAACAAUUCUUUUACUCCACAAUAUGCACUCAACAAAUUAAUUUAGAUAUUUCACUACCGAGAUGGUCGAUGGCCUUGUGUGUGUUUCUUCUUUUGGACACAUAUUAGACACUUCAAAAGUUAGCAAUAAAGGACGGUUUCUCAAAUUCCGUUCUGAUGAGAAUUCUUGAAGUGGCCUUUAUGUGUCAAAUUUUGGUCUUUCGUUUAUGUAAGUCAUUGGGUAAUCUUGAAUUCUCCUAGUGGUGGAAAAUUGAUUUUGGUUCAGUUAUUUUAGUGGUUGGCUUAUUUUUUUCCAACAAUAUGUGAGUUUGGAACCUGGUGAUUAGACAUCAACGUUUGGCAAAAGCUUUAAUCAAGUUUUAUCAAGGGAAUGUUCGUACAACAAGCUUUUUGUCAGGAUCCUAGCUUGUGGGAAAGGGUGCUAAGAAGUAAGUACAAAGUAGGUGAUGUUCAGGAUCCCAGGUGGCUGAAGCCCAAGAGCAGCUGGUCAUCUACUUGGCGGAGUAUCGGGGUAGGGAUGAGGGAGGUGGUAGCUAGGGGCAUUGGCUGGGUUCCUGGAGAUGGGAAGACUAUUUGAUUCUGGGCUGACCGCUGGCUAUUAGAGAAACCACUGCUUGAGUUUGUAACGGGCACGCUACCGGAUGACGAGAAGGCUAAUACAGCGGAGAAGUACUGGAUGUUGGGAUCGGGUUGGGACAUGGUAAAGCUGCGCCAUUUCUUGCCACUAAACAUCACAAGAAGAUUGUUUUCUGUGGUGUUGCAUGAUUUUCCAGGGACGAGAGAUGAGCUGUCUUGGAAGGGUCAUCUGGAUGGGCAGUUUACAAUUAGAUCAGCGUACGCGUUACUAAAACCUGAGAUGGAGGACAAGCCGUGUAUGUAGAGAUUCUACAAGAGGUUAUGGAGGUUGGUAGCGCCGGAACGGGUUCGGGUAUUCAUCUGGUUGGUGUCACAUCAGGUGAUAAUGACUAAUGUUGAGAGAGUACGGAGACAUGUAGGGGAGAGUGCAGUAUGUCCGAUAUGUAAUGGGGCGGAUGAGUCGAUUAUACAUGUGUUGAGGGACAGUCCGGCGAUGUCGGGACUGUGGCGAAGGCUACUUCCCCCGAGGAGACAGGAUUUGUUUUUCCAGAAGUCUUUGUUGGAAUGGGUCUUUGACAAUCUGGAUCCUGCUAAGGAUAACUGGCCAACGAUGUUCAAUAUGGCGGUUUGGUGGGCCUGGAAGUGGAGGUGUAGGGAUGUCUUUGGGGAACGGAAACUAUGCAGGGAUAGGUUAAAGUUCAUUAAAGAUUUGGCGGAGGAAGUGCGCAGGGCGCAUGCGGGGACCUUGAACAGUUCGCAGCCACAUGCACGAGUGGAGAGGUUGAUUCGGUGGCUGGCAGCAAAUGAGGGAUGGGUGAAGAUUACGACUGAUGGUGCGUCCCGUGGGAACCCUGGACUGGCUACCGCGGGAGGGGCAAUCCGGAAUGCGGAUGGAGAGUGGCUUGGCGGGUUCGCUAAAUAUUGGCUCAUGCUCUGCGCCAUUGGCUGAAUUAUGGGGUGCAUAUUAUGGUUUGCUUAUUGCAUGGGAUAAGGGCUUUCGACGGGUGAAGUUAGACUUGGAUUCUGAGUUGGUGGUUGGAUUUCUAAAGUCAGGAAUGAGUAAUGCUCAUCCGCUGGCGUUCCUGGUACGUUUGUUUCACGGCUUCUUCACAAGGGACUGGUUAGUCCGGAUUAAUCACGUGUAUAGGGAAGCUAACCGUCUAGCUGACGGGUUAGCGAACUAUGCUUUCACACUACCUUUAGGUUUACAUUUAUUUGAGACGUGUCCAGAGGCGGUCCUUUUGAUUUUGUUAGAGGACGCCAAUGGGAUAGCGUUUCCAAGAACUGUUCGGUUGUAAUUUUUUUGUAGUUUUCAUUAAUAAAAUACGGGAGGCAAUUGUCUCCCCUCCGCCUACCCAAAAAAAACAAGUUUUUUGUCUGAAAAAUGGUCUCCUCUUGGAGUUAUUGAUCUCAUUGGCAGCAAUUGUUCUUUAACCCUCAGUAUCCCGAUUAAGGCAUAAAUUGCAUAGGCAUGCAAUCACUUGUAAUAAUUCUAACUUGAUCUAUAAGCAUUUAGAUAUGUCAUGCCUCAUUCUUCCUUGUGAAUCCAUAUGGUAAAAACUACAUAUGAUCGUUGUGCACUUGCAGCAUCUUAGCAUGUCAGAAUUAAAAUAUUUAUGUAUCUAAUUUGUUUGGUAAAAACUAUACGCAGAUCAAGUAUUAUAAUUUUACUAGGUGAUCAUCCGCUCUACGCUGCGGAUUUUGUCUUGUUUAUUUAAUGUUAUGUUAUGAGAAAUGUAAUUUUUUUUAAUUAUCUAAUCAUUCAGUCAUGUUAGGUGCGUGAGUUAUUGAAAGCAAUUUUUUGUGGGAAGGAGAUAAAUCUUGGUAUACAGUACAUCUAGACAGCACCAAGAUGUAUCAGAAACAUAAACUUUUUUUAUCAUCAAAUUAAAAUAGUAUGAAGUGUGAUGGUGGAGUGUUUUUAUACAAGUGUUUGGUAAGCCAGCAGGUAAACUAUAAGCAUUACACAUUCUAGAGUAGAAGUGGAAAAAGUUUCUACAGAUUAUAUCACUGUACUUGCUCGUCAUUACCACCAAGGAUGCGACCGUUUGUUCUCUCUUGCCUAGUUUUUUUAAGUAACGUUUAUUAUUAUGCUUACUUUGUAUUAAUAUCUCUGGCUUUUUAAUUCGUUUUUUUUUUAAUUAUAGAAGCUCUCAUCCCCAUAGCAUAUGGUAAUAUUAAUAUUCUAUUUUAGUAAUAGAAUUUCACAUUUUAUCAAAGAAAAAAAAAAGAGUAUAAAAAAGACUACUAAACCGAUAUAGUCUUUUAUUUUAUUUUUUACUUUGAUUUUCCAUAGAACUAAAAACCAGAUUAACCAAAGAGUUUUUAUGGUUAUCGAAUCAAAAAUUUAUGCAUUUCCUAGAGGGAGAUAAGCAUUUGCUUUAGACCACAACAUAUAUACCAAAAAUUAAAGAUGUUUAAAGAUAUUUAAAGCUUGGGGGUUGAUUGGUAUGGUUGUAGAAGUUAUGGGAAGACAAAAAGUUUCUCUUACGGCACCAAAAAAAAAACCUACAGCACCAAAAAAAUAAAUUAUUUCCCUUUUUCUAAGUUAAAUCUCUAAAGACAACUUUUUGGUGCUGUAUAAAUCUCUAAAUCUACAUCCAUUACUGAUCAGACCCUUUAGAUUCUUUAAAGUAUUUAAGCGUAUAGAAGGACUUUGGUUUUCCUAUGAUAAAUCAAAUGAUUUAAUCAUUAGUAAUAAACACUUUUUCAUAAAUCAGGAAUACCCAUAGGUGAUAGAUUUAUACAAUAAAUAUUCUCUUUUCUUAUUUCAGCAAAAUUUUGUUCUUUAAAACAGUUUUAUAUGUGGUUAUAUUAUAUUUUACCAAACCUACAUUUUCAUCGUUAGAUCUUAACAUCGUUAUAUCUUAACAUAUCAUAAUUCUUUUAAAAUACCUAAAACAUUCCAAUGAAAAAGAACAUAUAUUCACAAAUCAAUGAUACAUGAGCAAAACUAAUAUUCAAAUAUUAAAAACUGGUAUGAAAUCAAACAAAUAUAAAUUUUAAAAUUUGUUAUUAUUCUAAACAUACCUUUUGAAAGCAUAAUUGACGUCAUGAUAUUUUCCUUGAAGCCUCAAAAUAUCAAGCGAAUUUAUAUAGAAUAUAUCUAUGGAGCUUCCAAGUUUCUUAUGUUCUAAUAUUGCAGUGUGGUUGAAUUGAGAACCUUAUAUAUAGAUGAAAGAAAAGUUAAAAUAGAUAAAGAACAUAUUGAAUAACAUUGAAUCAUUGAUACUGCCUUUUUCGACUAUUCAAAAUCGUCACUCUGUUUAUAUAAAUUUAUCUAAUAUGAAAAUGUUUUAACAAAAAGAGAAAAUACACAUUAUCGAGAAAUAAUUAAGAUCAUAUCUUAUCUGGUUUCAAUCCCACUCUUGAACGAUGAAAAAAUAUAAUUUGACUGUUGUUCCAAAAACAAAAAAAAUCAGAUUUUGUAAUCGAUUUGAAAUCUAUAGAAAAAUCUUUUCGAUCUUAAUUGUAGCAGGAAUCAAAUCAUAAUAAAAUGAAAAAUUAGUUUUACCAAAGAACAGAUUAUGAAAGAAAAAUGAAAGAUUUAAUCACAAUGAUCCCAUGAGAAAUAUUAUAUCCUAAAAAAAUAAACAGCUAUUCCAAAAUAAUGGAAAUUGAAUGAUUAGACUAUGUACAAUGGUUUUAAAUUACAACACACUACUUUUUACCUUUUAACAUUCCACAUCAUCAUCUCUUUUCCACAUCAUAAUUCAACACUCAUUUUACUUUUAUAUUUUACAAUGAUUUUAGAAAAACAUGUUGAAUAAGCUUGAAGAAUUGAAGAUAACUUGAAGAGGAAGUCUUUUGUUUAAAACCAAGUUAUGGAUAAUUAGAGAUAAUAUUAAGAAUAUAUUAGGAGUUAUCUAAUAUGUUGUAAUUCCUAUUAGGGUUAGGAAUUGUAUCCUCCUAUAAAUAGAGGUCGAGUUAUGACAUUAGGAGAUAUGAGAGUUUAUGAGUUGUAGAGAGAACUUGAGAGAUUAAGGUUUUGGAUGUAUGUUUUGAGUUAGUUUCAUACAAUAAAAGAGAGAGUCUUUUAUAUUCAUAACCUUGAUAUUGUUCUUAAAGCUUUUGGAUACAAGAUUUGGUAUCAGAGCUAAUAUUGUUCACGAUCACGAGGAAAAACAAAGCACGAUCACGAGAAGGUGAUCUGUGAAGAAACAUGGGAGAUUUGAUCCCAGUAGGUGAUAACAAGGAAGGAGGAGGCUCCUCCUCUAUCAAAUGUCCGAUGCUAACUCCUACAAACUAUACGUUCUGGACUAUACGCAUGACGAUGGCUCUAAAGGUUCAUAAAGUCUGGGACGCUAUAGAACCGGGAUCAACGGAUGUUGACAAGAACAACAUGGCUAGUGCUCUUCUUCUGCAGUCUAUCCCUGAAGCACUAACACUGCAAGUCAGGAAACUAAACACUGCAAAGAGGAUAUGGGAUGCGAUUAAAUCUAGAAACCUAGGAGCUGAUAGGGUUAAAGAUGCAAGACUAUAAACCCUAAUGGGUGAGCUUGAGAGAAUUAAGAUGAAAGAAACAGAGAAGAUAGAUGAUUUUGCAGGACGACUCUCAGAAUUAUCUACAAAGGCUGCAUCACUUGGACAUGACAUUGAAGAACCAAAACUUGUUAAGAAAUUCUUGAAUGGUUUGCCAAGGAAAAGAUAUAUACACAUAAUAGCCGCACUUGAACAAGUUCUUGACCUAAAUUCAACUACUUUUGAAGAUAUAGUUGGUAGGUUAAAAGCCUAUGAAGAAAGGAUUUGUGAUGAAGAAGACAAUCAAGAGGACCAAGGUAAAUUGUUGUAUGCAAACUCUGAAACACAACCCUGGUACUCAAACAGAGGAAGAAGUCAAGGAGGCCGACGUGGUAGAGGAAGAGGACGUUCUGGUUAUGUCCAAAAUAAUAAUUACCAACAGAACAAUGGAAAUUACAGAGAUGCAAGUAAGAUAACGUGCUAUAGGUGUGACAAGCUAGGACACUAUGCCUCUGAUUGCCCGGACAGGUUACUUAAACUUCAGGAGACUCAAGAAAUUAAGAAUAUUGAAACACAAGAAGCAGACGCACUAAUGAUGCAUGAGAUUGUGUAUUUGAAUGAGAAGAAUGUUGUUCCAAACAAAUUUGAAGCAAGUUCAGAUAAUGAGAACGUUUGGUACUUGGAUAAUGGUGCUAGCAACCAUAUGUCAGGAAUAUUAGCCUAUUUUUCAACAAUUGAUGAAUCAAUUACAGGCAAGGUUAGAUUUGGGGAUGAUUCUCGGAUUGAUAUCAAAGGAAAAGGCUCAAUUAUGUUUAUUGCUAAGAAUGGAGAUCGAAGAACUCUUAAUGAUGUAUACUACAUCCCAGAUUUAAAAAGCAACAUUGUGAGCCUUGGUCAGGCCACUGAGUCAGGAUGUGAUGUUAGAAUGAGAGAUGAUCAUUUAACACUCUGUGACAGAGAAGGGAAGUUACCAGUUAAAGCUAAAAGAUCGAAAAAUCGGCUUUACAAAGUCAUUUUAAAAGUUGAUAAUACUAAAUGUCUGCAAAUUGGUAUCUCAAGCAUCUCAUCCAAGUGGCAUGCUAGACUAGGGCAUAUUGGAACAGAGACCAUGAAGACAAUGGUAGAAAAGGAACUUGUGUUUGGCAUUCCACAUAUCAAAAUAGAAAAGGAAAUAUGCUCUUCAUGUCUCCUUGGAAAGCAGGCAAGGCAGUCUUUUCCACAAGCUUCAUCAUUCAGAGCAAAAGGUAUACUUGAACUCAUUCAUGGGGAUCUUUGUGGACCAAUCACACCAUCCACACCAUCAAAGAACAGGUAUAUCUUUGUUUUAAUUGAUGACUAUUCAAGAUACAUGUGGUCAGUACUUCUAAAAGAGAAAAGUGAAGCUUUCAACAAGUUCAAAAUUUUCAAAACUAGCGUUGAACAAGAAACCGGAGCUACAAUAAAGACAUUUCGAACUGAUAGAGGGGGUGAAUUCUUGUCUGCUGAAUUUCAAGCUUUCUGUGAUGCAUCUGGCAUACAGAGACACCUAACCGCACCAUACUCUCCUCAACAAAACGGAAUCGUUGAAAGGAGGAACAGAACAUUAAUGGGAAUGACUAGAAGCAUUUUGAAGCAUAUGGGGGUUCCAAAUUACUUAUGGGGAGAAGCCAUAAGACAUGCUACCUAUAUAAUCAAUAGAGUUUCAACAAGAACAUUGGCUCAUCAGACUCCAUAUGAAGCAUUCAAGAAGAAGAAACCAAACAUUGAACAUAUAAGAGUUUUUGGUUGCAUAGGAUAUGCAAAAACAGAACAUGUACAUCUCAAGAAGCUUGAUGAUCGAUCAAAAAUGCUAGUACACUUAGGAACUGAACCAGGCUCCAAAGCCUAUAGGUUGCUUGAUCCAGCAAAACAAAGAAUUGUAGUCAGCAGAGAUGUGGUUUUUGAUGAAGAUACAAGCUGGAAAUGGAACAACUCUGAGAAUAAUACCAACUUUGAGAUCACUUUUGGUGAAUAUGGGAAUAAUGGUAUAAAAGAAAGUGCCAUUAACAGUGAAACAGAGAACAUUGAGGACAAUGAAGAAAACAGUGAACCAGAGGGAGAACACAUUUCACCAAACAAAGUCCCUGAUACUCCAGAACAACCAAAACUAAGGAGGUCUGAAAGAGAAAUAAAGAAGCCAAGUUACCUGCAGGACUAUGUUUUACUUGCAGAAUACGAAUGUGAGAGACUUCUUCUUGCCAUAAAUGAAGAACCAUGGGACUAUAACGAGGCUAAAGAAUCAAAAGAAUGGAGGGAUGCAUGUACAGAAGAGAUUACUUCUAUAGAGAAAAACAGAACAUGGGAUUUGGUGGAUCUUUCCAUAGGAGCAAAACCAAUAGGUCUAAAGUGGGUGUUCAAGAUUAAGAGAAACGCUGAUGGGAGCAUAAAUAAAUACAAAGCAAGACUUGUGGCAAAAGGAUACGUGCAAAAACAUGGGAUUGACUUCGAUGAAGUCUUUGCUCCAGUGGCCCGUAUAGAGACCAUUCGAUUCAUUCUUGCUUUAUCUACUUCUAAUGGGUGGGAAAUACACCAUCUUGACGUAAAAACAGCAUUUCUCCAUGGAGAAUUGAAAGAAGUUGUUUAUGUCUCACAGCCUGAAGGAUUUGUAACAGAAGGAAGUCAAGACAAAGUAUACAGAUUGAACAAAGCUCUUUAUGGAUUAAAACAAGCUCCGAGAGCUUGGAAUACAAAACUAAAUACUAUUCUUCUGGAAUUAGGCUUUGCUAAAUGUUCAAAAGAACCGUCUAUAUACCGAAAGAAAGAAAGAGAAGAGUUUCUGGUUGUAGCUGUCUAUGUGGAUGAUCUACUUGUUACAGGCUCAGACUUGAAAAUAAUAUUAGAGUUUAAAAAAGGCAUGGCAAGAAACUUUGAGAUGAGUGAUCUAGGAAAGCUCACUUACUACUUAGGAAUUGAAGUUACUCAGAGUGAGAAUGGUAUUCUACUAAACCAAGAAAGAUAUGCAAAGAAAAUCCUGGAGGAAACUAGAUUUGCAGACUGCAAUGCAGUUCAUGUACCAAUGUGUGCAAAUUUAAAGAUAAGUAAAGCACCAGAAGAGAAAAAUAUUGAUGAAAAGGAGUAUAGAAGAAGCAUUGGUUGUCUCAAAUAUUUACUUCAUACUAGACCAGACCUCUCAUACUGUGUUGGAGUUCUGAGCAGGUACAUGCACGAGCCUAAGGAGUCUCAUGGAGCUGCAUUGAAACAAAUUCUAAGGUAUUUGCAGGGAACUAGAUCAUAUGGACUUUGUUUUGGCAGAGGAAACAAAACAGAAUUAAUAGGAUUCAGUGACAGUAGUCACAAUGUUGAUGAGGAUGAUGGAAGAAGUACUACAGGUCACAUAUUUUAUCUCAAUGACUGUCCUAUAACAUGGUGCUCGCAGAAGCAAGAAACUGUUGCACUCUCAUCCUGUGAAGCUGAGUUUAUGGCUGCUACUGAGGCUGCCAAACAAGCCAUUUGGCUCCAAGAACUUUUGAAUGAAGUAACUGAGGAACAAUGUGAUAAAGUACUGAUUCUUAUUGACAAUAAGUCAGCUAUAGCACUUACUAGGAACCCAGUUUUCCAUGGCCGGAGCAAACACAUCCACAAAAGAUAUCAUUUCAUUCGGGAGUGCAUUCAAAAUGAACUAGUUGAUGUGGAUCAUGUUCCCGGAGAAAUUCAGAAAGCUGAUAUACUUACAAAGGCUCUUGGGAGAAUCAGAUUUAAAGAAAUGAGGGAUCUUAUUGGUGUUCAAGAUGUGAGGAUUAAAGACUUCAAGCUUAAGAGGGAGAUUGUUGAAUAAGCUUGAAGAAUUGAAGAUAACUUGAAGAGGAAGUCUUUUGUUUAAAACCAAGUUAUGGAUAAUUAGAGAUAAUAUUAAGAAUAUAUUAGGAGUUAUCUAAUAUGUUGUAAUUCCUAUUAGGGUGAGGAAUUGUUUCCUCCUAUAAAUAGAGGUCGAGUUAUGACAUUAGGAGAUAUGAGAGUUUAUGAGUUGUAGAGAGAACUUGAGAGAUUAAGGUUUUGGAUGUAUGUUUUGAGUUAGUUUCAUACAAUAAAAGAGAGAGUCUUUUAUAUUCAUAACCUUGAUAUUGUUCUUAAAGCUUUUGGAUACAAGAAAACAUUUCAUAAUUUUAAUUUUAUGUUUUUAUUUAGUGAUUAUACAUAUUACUAAAUAAACUUUUUGAUUAAAAUUAUAUUUUUUAAUAUAAAAUAAAUAAUAUAGUAAAAAUAUGAAUUUUUUUUCAAUGUCCAAAUCAAAUUAAACAAGUCUCUAUCUAUAGAAUAUGAAAAAUGAUGAAUUUUGGUGUGAAUUAUUUAUGUAUAUAAUAUAAUAUAGCAUAAAAUAAUUGAGUCUAAGUAAUUGGGAUGAAAAAAAAAAUAAAAAAUCUUAAUAGCCAAUGAAAACACAGCACAUGACAAAGAAUACCCCACCCAACCAAAAUUCACGGUGUUGAUAAAUUACAACACCAAAUUUGCCACAUCCUUUACAACUUUUAUUAAAACAACCAUUGCACUAUUUUCAACUGUUGAAUAUUUUUAUCAACAUACCCAUUGUAAGAGCAUAUGCAAGCAAGCAACACUUGGUAUGUUCUUAAGGGUUUUAAAAUAAUAAAAAUGUUAAAUAGUGGAUACAACUGUUCUUAAAAUUAUAAAAACAGUUUGCAGGAUAAGUUAGAACUGUUCUACCACUGUUCAUCUUAUUUCCUAUUUUUAAAUCCUAAGAACACACUUAAAAGUUUCCCCCUUGCGAAUGGUCUAAGUAGUCUUAUAAAGAUCUUAAAACUCAUUUUUAUUAAAACAUACAUCUGAAUUAAUAACUAAUCUCGUAGGAAUGAGAUCAAAUCUUGUUCUUACAACAUAUUAACGGCAAAUCCACAAUGUUUUUUUCUUUUGUUUUU